AUUUUAUUAGUAUAAUAAGUAUAAUUAACUUCCAAUUAAUAGGUUUAUUCAUUUAAAUAAAAUA
This 64-nucleotide transfer RNA is filed under the name Crenidorsum turpiniae. Its description in RNAcentral is "tRNA-Gly". The record is from RNAcentral. Lineage: Eukaryota; Metazoa; Arthropoda; Insecta; Hemiptera; Aleyrodidae.